Molecule: ribosomal RNA, 253 nt
Filed under: uncultured bacterium
Lineage: Bacteria
Description: partial 16S ribosomal RNA
Rfam family: Bacterial small subunit ribosomal RNA
Source: RNAcentral
UACGUAGGUGACAAGCGUUGUCCGGAUUUACUGGGCGUAAAGAGCGCGCAGGCGGUCGUUCAAGUCGAGUGUGAAAGCCCCCGGCUCAACUGGGGAGGGUCACUCGAUACUGAUCGACUCGAAGGCAGGAGAGGAGAGUGGAAUUCCCAGUGUAGAGGUGAAAUUCGUAGAUAUUGGGAAGAACACCGGUGGCGAAGGCGGCUCUCUGGACCGUAACUGACGCUGAGGCGCGAAAGCGUGGGGAGCAAACAGG